Non-coding RNA from Lonchura striata (white-rumped munia), 389 nucleotides. The record is from RefSeq and is a predicted model, not a curated record. Lineage: Eukaryota; Metazoa; Chordata; Aves; Passeriformes; Estrildidae.
CCAGAUGUUUCACUCUGCUCUGUUAAGUCAUAUUGACAUACUGCCAUGAAAUAGAAACAACUGCUAGUUUCAACAUUGCUCUGUAUCUUUAUUAAGAGAGUCAUCAAUCUCUUGAGAGUCAUCUUGCCAUCUGUACCAGCAUUGCUCCAGGCUUCCAUAUGAAAGUCCAAUCUGGCGGUAUAAAUACUGGAUAAUGAAGACACUGGCAGAGUCUUUACGCUGCACACCACUGCUGACCCCAGAAGUGACCCACAGGAACUACUGGCAAAAGGAGCGAAAAGGUAUUUCAGCUUGUAGGCAUUAGAAACUCUCUUCAUUAAUAGCCUUUUUGCAGACUUUUCAGAUAGAUUUCCUGUCAUUGUGAUGAGGAUAUAUUUGUAACGAGUCCC